Molecule: ribosomal RNA, 164 nt
Filed under: Macrocarpaea macrophylla
Lineage: Eukaryota; Viridiplantae; Streptophyta; Magnoliopsida; Gentianales; Gentianaceae
Description: 5.8S ribosomal RNA
Rfam family: 5.8S ribosomal RNA
About the family: 5.8S ribosomal RNA (5.8S rRNA) is a component of the large subunit of the eukaryotic ribosome. It is transcribed by RNA polymerase I as part of the 45S precursor that also contains 18S and 28S rRNA. Functionally, it is thought that 5.8S rRNA may be involved in ribosome translocation.
Source: RNAcentral
AAAACGACUCUCGGCAACGGAUAUCUCGGCUCUCGCAUCGAUGAAGAACGUAGCGAACUGCGAUACCUGGUGUGAAUUGCAGAAUCCCGUGAACCAUCGAGUCUUUGAACGCAAGUUGCGCCCGAAGCCAUUAGGCCGAGGGCACGUCUGCCUGGGCGUCACGC